This is a long non-coding RNA of Talpa occidentalis (Iberian mole), 968 nucleotides long. RefSeq lists it as uncharacterized. The transcript is spliced from 4 exons. The record is from RefSeq and is a predicted model, not a curated record. Lineage: Eukaryota; Metazoa; Chordata; Mammalia; Eulipotyphla; Talpidae.
GUGUGCAUGUAAACUUCAGAGUUUAACAAGGGCUAUUGUUUUCGCCUGCCGCUGAGAGUCGUUCACUCUGAAGACGUUGUGGGCCACUUGGGAUGUAGAGCCCCGGCUUCCUCAUGUUCUAGCACAUUCCAACCCUCAUGGCUUACAGCACUGAGUAAUGCAGGAACACCCCAGACCUUCCUGUCCCUGGCUCUUAGGCUCUCUCUUCUCUUGGCACUGGGGUGUCAAUGUCAACAGCUGGACACGCAGUUGGAAGGCAGACCCACGGCCAUGUGCCCUCGCCCACAACCCUGAGGCCAUGGGCUGUGAGAUUGCACCUGCUUCUGCUGGCAUAGAAGCUCCACGGAGGCACAGCCCGCUGAGCCCGUCCAAACGGCCCAAUCGCACCCCAGAAAGCUGCAGGUGGCCGACGCUGGGGGCUUCCUGGAGCGUCUGGCCCACCCUCGAGACCCCCCCCUGCAGCAGCGAAACCUCAAGGUCCUUUGGUCCCAAGGAAGGACGAAGCUUUGAACGUGGUCGUGUCUAACAACAAGUAAAUAAAUAAUAAGGAUAAUUUAAAACUAAGCAAAGAUGCGGAUGUAAAGGCCACUCCCGGUCCCAGGAGCAAGACCGAUGUGUCACUUAUCUGAUCUCUCAACUGGUCAGGAAAAAAUCUGUAUCAGCCAUCGCUGGAGCCCAGAUGGGGUCAUCUGGCCGCAGCAGGAGGCAGCAGGGAGCCUCGGCAGGCGUGGAGCCGAGACGAGAUGCUUUCCUGGAAGAAGUUGUUCCAGCGGCUCCAUCUCCACGUCCCAUGAGUAUCUUUCAAGUCUUCCCUCUUCCUGGCCUCCAUCUCUAGGAGCUUUGGGAAAAAAACAACACACUUCCAUUUUUAAGAAUUUGGCUUUUCACUUUAUAUCAAAGCACAUACCAGGUAACAAAAAACAGAAAAGAGAUAAAGUUGAAAAGCAGCUUACUUACCCCCUCUCUCC